Molecule: ribosomal RNA, 253 nt
Filed under: uncultured bacterium
Lineage: Bacteria
Description: partial 16S ribosomal RNA
Rfam family: Bacterial small subunit ribosomal RNA
Source: RNAcentral
UACGUAGGGGGCUAGCGUUGUCCGGAUUUACUGGGCGUAAAGAGCGCGCAGGCGGUCGUACAAGUCGCGUGUGAAAGCCCCCGGCUCAACUGGGGAGGGUCACGCGAUACUGUUCGACUCGAAGGCAGGAGAGGGAAGCAGAAUUCCCGGUGUAGUGGUGAAAUGCGUAGAUAUCGGGAGGAAUACCAGUGGCGAAGGCGGGUCUCUGGACAGUUCCUGACGCUGAGGCACGAAGGUCAGGGGAGCAAACGGG